CCUGGUAGUCCACGCUGUAAACGAUGUCGACUUGGAGGUUGUGCCCUUGAGGCGUGGCUUCCGGAGCUAACGCGUUAAGUCGACCGCCUGGGGAGUACGGCCGCAAGGUUAAAACUCAAAUGAAUUGACGGGGGCCCGCACAAGCGGUGGAGCAUGUGGUUUAAUUCGAUGCAACGCGAAGAACCUUACCUACUCUUGACAUCCACGGAAUUCGCCAGAGAUGGCUUAGUGCCUUCGGGAACCGUGAGACAGGUGCUGCAUGGCUGUCGUCAGCUCGUGUUGUGAAAUGUUGGGUUAAGUCCCGCAACGAGCGCAACCCUUAUCCUUUGUUGCCAGCACGUAAUGGUGGGAACUCAAAGGAGACUGCCGGUGAUAAACCGGAGGAAGGUGGGGAUGACGUCAAAGUCAUCAUGGCCCUUACGAGUAGGGCUACACACGUGCUACAAUGGCAUAUACAAAGAGAAGCGAACUCGCGAGAGCAAGCGGACCUCAUAAAGUAUGUCGUAGUCCGGAUUGGAGUCUGCAACUCGACUCCAUGAAGUCGGAAUCGCUAGUAAUCGUAGAUCAGAAUGCUACGGUGAAUACGUUCCCGGGCCUUGUACACACCGCCCGUCACACCAUGGGAGUGGGUUGCAAAAGAAGUAGGUAGCUUAAC
RNAcentral lists this ribosomal RNA (655 nucleotides) under bacterium YG-55. RNAcentral describes it as "bacterial SSU rRNA". It matches the Rfam family "Bacterial small subunit ribosomal RNA", at positions 786 to 1439 of the family's 1533-position model. RNAcentral also lists the same sequence under 1 other name. The record is from RNAcentral.